Molecule: non-coding RNA, 62 nt
Filed under: unclassified sequences
Source: RNAcentral
CGAGAAUAGAGUAGCAGGAUGGUAGCCCCUGCGCCCGCAUGUCGGGUUCUUCCCUGCCACGG